UCCAAAGUACAUCACCACCCUGAUCACACUCCAUCUAGUCUGAUCUUGGAAAUUAAGCAGAGUCAGGCCUUAUUAGUACUUGGAUUUGACAAAACCCCAGGAGGCCCAUUUUUAGAA
Colobus angolensis palliatus is the source of this 117-nucleotide ribosomal RNA. The record is from Ensembl. NCBI's taxonomy places the organism in Eukaryota, Metazoa, Chordata, Mammalia, Primates, Cercopithecidae.